CAACUCUUGAGACUUAAUCACUUAGAGACAGUCCUCUUCACCCACCAGCCCACUUAAGAUGAUUGCCAAUAGCUUUUGCAGGUUCUCUUCACCACAGAAGAGAGGAAGAGAACCUAGACAGAGUCCAGGGAACUGGCUCUUGGCCCCACCAGGGAAUCCACUAGUAACCAAGCAGCUAUAGAGGCUGGCUUUCCCUUAACCCAUCUGGAUUGAGACUUUAACACCAUUAAAGGCUGAAGGUUGAAGGUAUUGCAAUGUGUUUACACCAUACUCAUGCCUGAAGUGCAGGCCUGUUUGCAGUUGAAGACCACCUGGACCAGCGGAGAGAAGAAAAAUGGAAGGUUAUCUACCAAGCACCCUUCCAACCCUCUCAAGCUUAAGUUACAGUGUUCCUGAUGAGCCUCUUUACCGUAUGUACUGUGAAACCCAACCCCCAUCAGCCCUUUAACCUUAGUGGGCCAUCAUCAAUACAGCCAAAGGGAAGACUGUCAACUCUACUUCCCUGGUUGUGCCCCUGAGUACUUGGUUCCUAGAUCUCCAUGUCAACUUCUGUGAUCUGACCAGUAAAGAAUGGAAUUCUCCCCUAAAAAAAAAAAAA
Molecule: non-coding RNA, 598 nt
Organism: Rattus norvegicus (Norway rat)
Lineage: Eukaryota; Metazoa; Chordata; Mammalia; Rodentia; Muridae
Source: RefSeq, a predicted model, not a curated record